RNA transcript from Panicum virgatum (switchgrass), 3408 nucleotides. It is a transcript of the gene named DNA repair protein RadA-like, with no coding region annotated. The transcript is spliced from 15 exons. The record is from RefSeq and is a predicted model, not a curated record. Lineage: Eukaryota; Viridiplantae; Streptophyta; Magnoliopsida; Poales; Poaceae.
CAAAACCCCGGCCAAAACCCUCCCGCACCCGGCCGCCUUCCAUACCCCACACCGUCCGCCGCGAUGCUCCGCUCGCCCUCCUCGCUCCGCUCCCUCCUCCACCUCUCCGCUCGCCUCCUCCCCCCGCCGAACCCUCGCCUCCCACGCCCCCCUCACCCCCGCCUCCCCAGCUACCCGCUCUCCGCCCGCCCUCGCUUCCUCUCGUCGUCGUCCUCCUCAUCCUCCUCCCCGCCCACCACCGGCGGCGCCGGAUGGGCCACCUACGACCCGGUCACCGACAGUCUCAGCGCUCCCGCGGCGCUCUCCUCACCCUCCGCCUCCGCCUCCGACCCCGAGGCCCCCGCGGAGUCCGACGCCUGGGCUGUCUUCGACCCCGCCGCGGGCCGCAUCAUCAAGCACCGCUCCCCUCCUUCGUCGUCUACCACCGCGGCGGCGGCGAAGGCGGAGGAGGAUGAGGAGGAGGAGGAGGAGGAGGGGGAAGGCGCGGACGAGGGCGAGGAGAAGGGGAGGGUACGGGCGAGCGCGCGGGUCGCGAAGGCCCAGACCUCGUGGUCGUCAGUGGCGGCGGUGCGGAAGCCCGCGGGUAAGGGCGGCAAGGAGAGGUUCUCGUUCGUGUGCAGCCACUGCAAGGAGGCCGAUUCGCAGUGGUGGGGCUUUUGCCGCCACUGCAACGCGGCGGGGACCAUGGAGAAGUACGUCCCGGGGACUGAUGGCAAUGCCUCUGCGGUGGGGUUGCACCAUAUCUCCCGGUCGUGGAUUCCUCAGAAGAGCAAGGAGAUUGUGCCGCAGAGCCUUCAGGAGGUGAACAAGGGGCUCAAUCAGGCUGAGUGGCGCAUACCCCUGUCAGGGAGCUUUGGAGUGGAGAUUGCUCGAGUGCUUGGUGGUGGCAUUGUUCCUGGCUCCUUGAUAUUAGUCGGCGGGGAUCCAGGUGUUGGCAAAAGUUCAUUGAUGUUACAGCUUGCUUCAAAUAUAUUGGAGGGUUUCAAGGUUGAGGAGUCUUCACCUGUUGUAUAUGUUUCUGGUGAGGAGAGUAUUGAGCAAAUUGGAAACAGGGCUGAUCGGAUGAGUAUCACGUCUAGCAAGUUGUACCUCUACUCUGGUACGGACAUUGAGGAUAUCUUGGACAAAAUCCAACCGCUGUCUCCAAGGGCUCUUAUUAUCGAUUCAAUUCAAACAGUUUAUGUCAAAUCGUUCGCUGGAAGUGCUGGCAAUUUAGCACAGGUCAAGGAAUGCACCUCUGCCUUGUUACGAUUUGCAAAACUGACUAAUAUCCCUGUUUUCUUGAUUGGACAUGUUACAAAAAGUGGUGAUAUUGCUGGUCCUCGCCUCUUAGAGCACAUAGUGGAUGUUGUUUUGUACAUGGAGGGGGAGAGGUGCUCAUCCCAUCGACUGUUGCGGUCGGUUAAGAAUCGUUUCGGUUCAACAGAUGAGCUUGGUGUAUUUGAGAUGGCUGAAUUUGGUCUGCAAGCUGUUUUGAAUCCUAGCCAGAUGUUCUUAACUGAGCAUGACUCUGAUUCUGAAAUUCUAGCUGGGCUUGCUGUAGCUGUUAUUUUAGAUGGAUCUAGGACCUUUGCUAUCGAAGUUCAGGCAUUGUGUGUUUCUGGUUCUCAGCGUUCUGGACAAGUAGUUGGCAUACCAACAAGAAGGGCUGAUGUCAUAAUAUCUGGUAUAAAUCUAUGGAUAAGCUCCAGCAGGGUGACUUGUAAAAAUGGGAUCCUGUGAAAUGAAUAGUGUUGCUAGUUUAUCUUUAGCUUGAUAGCACCAUUAUUUUGGCAUUAGAGCUGCAUAAAUAGUGCCAGACCUGACUUCUUUUAUUCAGCCCAAGAUCAUUCUGUCACAGUCAAAUUCACAUAAGUUUGAUCACGCUUUCUUAUAAACCAUUGCAAGCAUAGCACCUUAAGCUGAGUUACCAUUAGCUUUCAUGUCAUCUCAACAGCAUAUCUGAGCUUGUUUUGAUGUGGACACUGAUAAGUUUGCAUAUGUAUGUUAGGCCUCUUGCAGACUUAGUUUUGCUUAUUUUGUUGCAUUUCUGCUGGAAUAAGAGGAAAAUGAGGUGGUUGUUUCCAGAUUGCAGGAAUAUAUGUGUGGGAUAAGAUGUUUUGGUAGUAUCUGUUCUUUGACAUUAUAACCAUAGACACAAAUACACAUGCCUCCACACGUGUCACGUCCGUGGGCUAGCAUAGACCAGAUAUAAAUUCAUGAAUCAUGACCUCCGGGAGCACGGACGCACACGGUCCAUAGUGUUAUGACCGGCAAAACAUACCAGCGGCGCAAAAAGAAAGGAUCAAAGCAGGAGUCCGAGAAAAGUGGCGGUUAGCUCGGCGUACGUGAAGAUCUGGUGGUUUUGGCAAGGGAAGAUUUUGGAGAUUGGCUUACGUAUCUUAGGGUUGGUUAGUAGUAUUUCCUUUAGUAGAGAUAAACUUAUAUAAGAAAGAGAUGUAUUCGUUUGGGAGUCAAGCAAUGAGAAUUAUCUAGUUUCCCUAGUCCCGAUUCCCCUUCUCCUAGUUUGGGCGACGUCUCCGACGGCGCCGAAACGCCGAGGUCCCGGACCUCGCCCUUCCACGAGCCACGACUAUAACUUACGCCACGUUCCUUCCACCAACACUCCUCCAUCCACCGGCGAACAUAACAAUAGAGAUGCUCACAGCCUCACACUGAGUAAAGUUGCACCAAGAUUUGAUCCCUAGCACACCCAAAGCCACAACUCAACCGAUUGACCAAUACUUUUUUCCCUAUAUUUUGUGAAAUGUUAAUCUCGUUUGUUAUUUUGUAGGUUCUUAUGAAGCAAGCAGGCCUAAAACUUCAGGAUAAUGCUAUUUUUUUGAAUGUCGUCAGUGGCUUCGAGUUGACUGAGACCGCAGGAGAUCUGGCGAUAGCAGCUUCAAUUUGCAGCAGUUUCUUGGAGUUUCCCAUCCCAAAUGAUGUUGCAUUUAUUGGAGAGAUUGGUCUUGGCGGUGAACUUCGAACUGUGCCAAGAAUGGACAAGCGGGUGAUGGCUAUUGCAAAGCUGGGAUACAAGAAAUGUGUAGUUCCCAGGACCUCCGAGAAGUUGCUCAAACCGCUUAAUCUGGAUAUCGAGAUCUUGCCCUGCAGCAACUUGAAGCAGUUUAUAAACGCCAUAUUUAGGCCCCAAGGCUGAUGCUGGCGUGGAAGAUGCUUUGCUUUACCAAAGCUGACCGUAGGUAUUCAGGGUUAGACAUUAGAGUAUUGUAGGUCAAGGGCUUGGCUACUUGAUUUGGUGUAGGCGUGUAGCAUAGGGCCAGUUAACAGUGGACGGGCUUCCGUGUUGGGCUUCCAGCCGAUAUAUGUAUUUUCCAUUUUGCUAGUAAGCCUAGGCGGCCGUAAAUUUGGUUAUCGUUAUUCUUUCGUGUAAAUUUGAAGCUUUAUUCUGUGUCUUGUCCAGCUGUC